Long non-coding RNA from Heterocephalus glaber (naked mole-rat), 1064 nucleotides. NCBI's taxonomy places the organism in Eukaryota, Metazoa, Chordata, Mammalia, Rodentia, Bathyergidae. The record is from Ensembl.
AUCAGGUAUUAUUUCCGUUCCUAUGGUAGAACUUUCCGGAGCAAUAGAAAUUAACUGCAACCCAGUAACGAACCUUCUCGAGUUUGUCUAUUCUAGCGUUGAAAACAUCCUGCUCUAUUAUUAACAGUUUUUGGUGAAUUCUGUAGGGAUGCAGCCAUUUUGAAAUAACCCGGAAAGCAUUGGAAACACUUUUCACUGGUUUUAGAUUUUCUUGGGAAGAAAGCCGUCUUUUAAAUCAUAGUUCUGAAGUAGAUUAUCUUCAGUGAUAAUUGGGUUACUUUGAGAGAAAAUAUGCAUCUUUUGAAAAUUUUACACUGAGGAUAAGUCAAAUUUCUUAAUGGCAAAGAUGGUCCCAAUCAAAGACUGCAUAGGAUUGUUCUUCAUAAGAUUCACUCAAUAUUGUAUUCGAAUCCUUCAACAGUUUGACAAUGGCUACAACACCUUGGAUUCAUUCACUUCACUUGACCUGCAGAGAAUGGCUGAUCUAUCAUUUCAUGGAAGUGUUAAUUAUGAUACUGGUAGCAGUCUGGGAAAAUUCAAGAACAAAACAUAUCAAAAAGGAGGAAUGUCCAGAACAGUUCUUGGAAUAUUAAGUGUGCUGCUUUGCCCACUGCUUCCUGUUGGAGAUUGAAGCACCCAUGCACUUUGAAGCACAUUUGUGUUUCAGAAACACAUUCUGGUGUCCUAAAUACGCAAUAAUUUCAGAUAUUUCCUAUAAGGAAGUCACAGUACCUAUCUAAUAAGAAAAUAUCCUGUUCCCCAUUGAUGCAUACACUGGUCGGAUGACUUUGGAUGUGGUGUCUACUGAGUCUGCACAUAUUUGGAAGGAUUAUUCCUCUGGUGCACACUGGAAAUGGCUUCUGGGGCAUUGUGCUCUAACUUCUUUUUUUCUUUCCUCGUACCAGGAAUUGAACCCUGGUCCUUGAGCUUGCUGGAUAGGUGGUGAAACCGCUGAGCUAAAUCUCUGGCCCAUGCUAACUUCUACAAAUGGGCUUGGUAGUUAUUUUCCAAACAUGGAUGUGAAAAAAAAGGGGAGGUCCACUAGGGAAGACGAAGAUAGAUGA